GAUGAAGAACGCAGUGAAAUGCGAUAAGUAAUGUGAAUUGCAGAAUUCAGUGAAUCAUCGAAUCUUUGAACGCACAUUGUGCCCGCUGGUAUUCCGGCGGGCAUGCCUGUUCGAGCGUCAUUUCAACCCUCAAGCUCUCCGGAGUUUGGUGUUGGGGCGCCUGGGGCUUUUCGACCUCAGGGCCCUCAAGUCCAUCGGCGGGACCGCCAGGACACUGAGCGCAGUAGUAUUAUUUCGCUCGGUAGGAUCUUCCACGGCGGGUCGAUCUGGCCGCUAAACCCCCCAAUUCUCACCAAAGGUUGACCUCGGAUCAGGUAGGAAUACCCGCUGAACUUAAGCAUAUCAAUAAGCGGAGGA
RNAcentral lists this unclassified non-coding RNA (357 nucleotides) under soil metagenome. RNAcentral describes it as "partial contains 5.8S ribosomal RNA, internal transcribed spacer 2, and large subunit ribosomal RNA". The stretch from base 1 to 120 matches the Rfam family "5.8S ribosomal RNA", at positions 35 to 154 of the family's 154-position model. The record is from RNAcentral.